CUCAGGAUGAACGCUGGCGGCGUGCUUAACACAUGCAAGUCGAACGAUGAAGCCCAGCUUGCUGGGUGGAUUAGUGGCGAACGGGUGAGUAACACGUGAGUAACCUGCCCUUAACUCUGGGAUAAGCCUGGGAAACUGGGUCUAAUACCGGAUAGGAGCGCCUACCGCAUGGUGGGUGUUGGAAAGAUUUAUCGGUUUUGGAUGGACUCGCGGCCUAUCAGCUUGUUGGUGAGGUGAUGGCUCACCAAGGCGACGACGGGUAGCCGGCCUGAGAGGGUGACCGGCCACACUGGGACUGAGACACGGCCCAGACUCCUACGGGAGGCAGCAGUGGGGAAUAUUGCACAAUGGGCGCAAGCCUGAUGCAGCGACGCCGCGUGAGGGAUGACGGCCUUCGGGUUGUAAACCUCUUUCAGUAGGGAAGAAGCGAAAGUGACGGUACCUGCAGAAGAAGCACCGGCUAACUACGUGCCAGCAGCCGCGGUAAUACGUAGGGUGCGAGCGUUAUCCGGAAUUAUUGGGCGUAAAGAGCUCGUAGGCGGUUUGUCGCGUCUGUCGUGAAAGUCCGGGGCUUAACCCCGGAUCUGCGGUGGGUACGGGCAGACUAGAGUGCAGUAGGGGAGACUGGAAUUCCUGGUGUAGCGGUGGAAUGCGCAGAUAUCAGGAGGAACACCGAUGGCGAAGGCAGGUCUCUGGGCUGUAACUGACGCUGAGGAGCGAAAGCAUGGGGAGCGAACAGGAUUAGAUACCCUGGUAGUCCAUGCCGUAAACGUUGGGCACUAGGUGUGGGGACCAUUCCACGGUUUCCGCGCCGCAGCUAACGCAUUAA
RNAcentral lists this ribosomal RNA (829 nucleotides) under bacterium. RNAcentral describes it as "bacterial SSU rRNA". It matches the Rfam family "Bacterial small subunit ribosomal RNA", at positions 23 to 863 of the family's 1533-position model. The record is from RNAcentral.